This is a non-coding RNA of Ataeniobius toweri, 83 nucleotides long. Lineage: Eukaryota; Metazoa; Chordata; Actinopteri; Cyprinodontiformes; Goodeidae. The record is from the annotation of a GenBank genome assembly.
UGCAUGGUGGUGCAGAUGGUAGCACUGUUGCUUUGCAGCAAGAAGGUCCUGGGUUCAACUCCCUGCUGGGGGUCUUUCUGCAU